RNAcentral lists this ribosomal RNA (425 nucleotides) under uncultured bacterium. RNAcentral describes it as "partial 16S ribosomal RNA". It matches the Rfam family "Bacterial small subunit ribosomal RNA", at positions 354 to 796 of the family's 1533-position model. The record is from RNAcentral.
GUGGGGAAUCUUAGACAAUGGGGGAAACCCUGAUCUAGCCAUGCCGCGUGAUCGAUGAAGGCCUUAGGGUUGUAAAGAUCUUUCAGGUGGGAAGAUAAUGACUGUACCACCAGAAGAAGCCCCGGCUAACUCCGUGCCAGCAGCCGCGGUAAUACGGAGGGGGCUAGCGUUGUUCGGAAUUACUGGGCGUAAAGCGCACGUAGGCGGAUUGGAAAGUUGGGGGUGAAAUCCCGGGGCUCAACCCCGGAACUGCCUUCAAAACUCCCAGUCUUGAGGUCGAGAGAGGUGAGUGGAAUUCCGAGUGUAGAGGUGAAAUUCGUAGAUAUUCGGAGGAACACCAGUGGCGAAGGCGGCUCACUGGCUCGAUACUGACGCUGAGGUGCGAAAGCGUGGGGAGCAAACAGGAUUAGAUACCCCAGUAGUCC